CCUCCUCCUACCCCAGGCCAGGUUCGGGGUCUCUCCUUCCCCCUCAGGAGCUGGUAGAAUGUCAUUUCAGAUCAGCAUGGAAUGGCCCCGGGACCCAGCCAUUGAGGGGAGGGGGUAGCAGGGCCCAAUAACCCGUCCACCUCUGCCCAAGCCUCAGUUUGAGCCUGUCUGGGUUUCUGCCACCUACCAGCUGGAUGGUUUUGGGCAAGUUACUUAGUCUCUCUGAGCCUCAGUUCCCCAUCUGUAAAGUGGGAGCAUAGUAAAUUAUGGAAAGGAUCCAAAGAAAUUACGUUUAAAGUGCCAGGCUUGGGAUGGUGCCCAGACCCAGGAGCGCCACCAGGGCAGGGCCAUUUCUCUCCAGAUGGAGUGAUGGGGGUCUAGAUGUGGCCCAGGAUUCUUGGGGAGGGCCCACAAGGUCAGCCUCACCUCCUGUUUUCUCUGAGCAGAAGAACAAUGCCAGAGAGAAUAAAGUGCUUCCUGGGGCCAUAGUGAAGACCAGGCCUCCCCAAAGCCAAGACAUCAGUCCCCACACCCUUCCUCUGUCCUGGAGGUGAUUGGGGCAGGUCUUGGAUCCUGGGCCUUCCUUUUCAGCCCUAGAAAAUCAGGCCCAACUAGUUUGAUGGGAAGUGACCCCUUUGGUCCUAGGGUGGCAUCCCUUGACUGUGGAAGAGGCUCCCAGAUGGAAAGGGGGGUGUUCAGGAUCCCAGAAUGAGAACUGAGAUCACUGGGCACCCAGGGCCGUCCCCACCCCAAACUCCAGAGCUUGAGUGAUUCAAUUAGAUAACCUUCCUUCUGCGAUGAAGCACCCAACACCCUGGGCCUCCAGAGCAGCCGCUGACCAGCCCAUGGGGCAGUUUAAUGGUGUCUGCUCCUGGAAGAAAGGGAGACUGGUAUCUGGAAGCCCUAGAAGUGUGCGGGCCGUCCCACAGCAAUGGGAGAACUGUGCCUCAGCUUCCCCAUCAUAAAAGAAGACAAUUGCCCUGAGCUGGUUUCAUGCCUAGUUGGGAAAUUCUAGGUGUCUUCCUUUUGGGGGAGGAGGCAUUUCCCCCCCAACGUGCCUCCACCUAGCUGGGCAGACAGGUUGCCCUAUGUAGGCAUGAUGGGAAUGUGUGCAGCUGGCCAGAGGGCCUCCCCUCUCCCUGGGCCCCCCGACGGUCAGGGCCCCAGCCUUCCUCCCUCACUCCCAGCCCAGCCAGUCCUCCAACCCAAAAGUGACCAACCCAGGUCCCAGCUGUGGCCCCUGUAAAAUCCCAGGGGCUUCAGGGCCCCUCCACCACAGAGCACAGGCCUGAACUCUGGCUUCUCCCCAGGGAGCUGCCGUGUUUACCCCGCCAACCCCGCUUUCCCUCCCUGAGGAGUGUGUUUGGGAGGCGAGAACCCACAGCGCACUCAGGCACUCACACACCAUCUGACGCGCCAGACCACACAGACUCGCAGCCCAGCCACAGAUGUGCACCCCAGCACCUGCUCUGGGCUGUGCCUCCUGUACGGGGCCGGGGCUGCGUGGCCUCAGCAUGGCAGGGAACCGGCGCUAACUAUGAAGUAGUCUGGUAGACUGGCCUGGACUCCUGUCCCCAUUUUACAGACGAGGCAACUGAGGCUCAGACGGGCAGGGCCGGCCACGGCCAGUGUCAGCUUGCUCAGGGAUGCAGAGCUCUCCACAGCGCCCUGCAUUCUCAGGCCUCUGGGGCAGCGGCGUGGCGAUCGAUGCCCGCGUGGGGAGCUGUCAGGCCGAUUGAAAUGUGGGCUCGGCCUCUCUGCCCGCUGGGCAGAUGCUGGCACCGCCACCCGCGCCUUAAAUAUUCAUUCACUUGACAGAACACUAAUUAAACAAAGUAAGGUGCAUUA
Long non-coding RNA from Manis pentadactyla (Chinese pangolin), 1848 nucleotides. RefSeq lists it as uncharacterized. NCBI's taxonomy places the organism in Eukaryota, Metazoa, Chordata, Mammalia, Pholidota, Manidae. The transcript has 2 exons. The record is from RefSeq and is a predicted model, not a curated record.